GGGGGAUAUUGCACAAUGGAGGAAACUCUGAUGCAGCAACGCCGCGUGAGGGAAGAAGGUCUUCGGAUUGUAAACCUUUGUCCUUGGUGACGAAACAAAUGACGGUAGCCAAGGAGGAAGCUCCGGCUAACUACGUGCCAGCAGCCGCGGCAAUACGUAGGGAGCAAGCGUUGUCCGGAUUUACUGGGUGUAAAGGGUGCGUAGGCGGCUCUGCAAGUCAGGCGUGAAAACUAUGGGCUUAACCCAUAGACUGCGUUUGAAACUGCGGGGCUUGAGUGAAGUAGAUGUAGGCGGAAUUCCCGGUGUAGCGGUGAGAUGCGUAGGGAUCGGGAGGAACACCAGUGGCGAAGGCGGCCUACUGGGCUUUAACUGACGCUGAAGCACGAAAGCAUGGGUAGCAAAC
This 403-nucleotide ribosomal RNA is filed under the name uncultured bacterium. RNAcentral's name for it is "bacterial SSU rRNA". It matches the Rfam family "Bacterial small subunit ribosomal RNA", at positions 356 to 773 of the family's 1533-position model. The record is from RNAcentral.